This is a non-coding RNA of Schistosoma rodhaini, 46 nucleotides long. The record is from Rfam. Lineage: Eukaryota; Metazoa; Platyhelminthes; Trematoda; Strigeidida; Schistosomatidae.
GCACUGCUGAGGAGUCCCAUAAUAGUAGGAAACGGCCGUCCAGUGC